GUCCAACUAAGGAUAGCAGUCUGAAGCAGUUUUACCGCAGGCUAUUUUUCAGGGAUCGUUAGAAGCAGCAGUACUUCAGACUUACCGGGAUGCGUAGAGAAAUACAUCUUUCUCCUUGAGAGAUUUGUUCCAAGCUAAUAGCACUUUCUGCCAGUGAACAUGACUGAAGACAGAGUCAAGAGAAACCUGCUUUCCGCAGGAACCCGAACAGAAGCCGUGUGGUGAGCACACUGGGAGCAGCAUGGAGAUGGCCUCCUUCCCCACAGCAGACCUGUCAGCAUGCCUGGGUUUUAUCUUUUUUUGUUGAUAC
Molecule: long non-coding RNA, 310 nt
Organism: Lagopus leucura (white-tailed ptarmigan)
Lineage: Eukaryota; Metazoa; Chordata; Aves; Galliformes; Phasianidae
Exons: 4
Source: RefSeq, a predicted model, not a curated record